Molecule: microRNA, 21 nt
Filed under: Zea mays
Lineage: Eukaryota; Viridiplantae; Streptophyta; Magnoliopsida; Poales; Poaceae
Also listed under: 1 other name
Description: zma-miR390b-3p
Gene: zma-miR390a-3p
Source: miRBase by way of RNAcentral
CGCUAUCUAUCCUGAGCUCCA